GCUCAAGUUGACAGUGAAGGACUUAAAUAUGGCCAAACGCGCUACAUCCACAUUCCCUUCUGGUGUUAAUGACUCAAACCUGCAAUUCCCGACCUCUCAAAGCUUCUCCAGAACUGCUAAGUGAUCUGAACCUUUGUUGAAGUCCUUCAGUUUCCACAUUCAGUGUCUGCAAUGAAAAAGCUGAAAGAUUUGGAACUGAAUGUAUGAAAAGAGAACUCUGGAGCAUAUUUCACAAUGAAAUGUCAAUUUUCCACCAACCAGAGGUGACUUUGGAAAUCUCCAAACUAAGCUACUGUGAAGGUCAAAGACAUGUGAUCAAUGACAGUGCCCACCGCACUUUGUCUCCCUCUCCUGAUAUUUCAAACCCGAGAGAAUGCUGAAGAACGCUCUUUUCUACCAACCUCCACAACCUCUUCUUUCCCUUUUAAAAGUGAACCAAUGCAGUUCCAGAUAGCGAGAUAGAUAGAUAGAUAGAUAGAUAUAGCUGGAUAGGAUAUAUAGGAUGAAUGUAUACAUAUGUAGAUAAACAGUCAAUAAUCAUAAUGCAUAAUAGCAUAAUGGCUUACUAAAACUAAUUUAUUAUUAUUAUUAUUACUUGCAUAUUAAAGUGAAUCUACUUUUCACAUCUGUUUUACAUUAUUGUGAAAAGGCCAUGUCAAAAAUAAUAUAUUGUACUUUUUACCCCAAAAUAACAAAUUAUAGUUAUAAUAAUAAUGAUGAUAAUAAUAAUAACAAUACAUUAUUAUUAUUAUUAUUAUUAUGUGGGGUUUUAUUAAGGAUAAUAUAUAAUUUUUUGGCCAUGGCUGAAAUUUUUCUUGCAAUUUUGAAAAGGAAAUUUACAGCAUGUACAGACUACAGAGCAUCUUUCCUAUCAUCUCGUCACAUCUGCUCUGUGCUGAUCGACAGGAAUUACUUCUUAAUUGCUCAAGGCCAAAGAAGUGUUUUCAAGCAAUUACAAAGAAUCCUUGCCAUUGUCAUCAUUACCAGGAAACCUCGCUGGUCCAUAUUGUGCAGCUAAUGAUUUUGGACUUGUGGUUUAUAAUCUAGAAUGGAAUUUCUCUUUUGUGGCCUUUGAGGGAUUGUCAACUUGACCAUGAGUGGCUGUUAAGUGUUUAUCUUCUCUCCAGCUCUUCGUAAUUAAGAGCUAGGAAAUCGGAAUUUAUCUACAGCAGCUGUGCGCUCCCACUGAAGGUCAUUACAAUAACCCAUUUAAACGACAUUCCCUCACGUGCCAUUUUAUCGGCCUUGUGACACACAGGAGCCACUUUGCUAAGUCAAUCAUCCACACCGCACAAUGCUCGAGCGGAUACUUAACACAUACUUCAACUGACACGUUGUCAGCACAGCGUCUCAGUGACAGCAAGCAUGCAUUCUCUCUACUGGACCAUGAAGAAUAUUUUGCAUUGCUGGAAUUCUACAGAUGCCUAUAACAUAUCUUGUCCUGUAAGUUCAUUAACUUUUAAUCAGAGUUCUAAACGUGCCGGAGAUUAUCCUGAUAGAUUUCAAAGGGAGCAUGUGAGAUGGCAAUGCAUCUGUCAGUGCUUGUCAUCCCCGUCGAAACGGGCGUCCUUGGGCAGAUGGACAUGUGGCUCUUCUGUGUGACUAAUUAACAUUUCCCUUGGUGCUUUGUCUGCCACUGCUGCACAAUAAUUAUGCACAACCUACAAUCAGGUGCGAAAUCCCAGUCACAAUGGACCUGGGUGUGUGUAUUUGUACCAACAUCAGGCUAAAUCAAUGAAUUACUGUGUCAAAGAUGAAAUCAGCCAGAUUGGGUGGUUGAUGCAAACAUAACCCCUGCUUGGAAAAAUGAUCUCUCAAAAACUAAGCCACAUUCUUACAUCUUAUAUUACCUCUUCCUGCUCAUGGCUAAGCGCACAGCCUAAAAGAACAGGCAAAUCACAUUACAUCCUGUUCUCUUAAAGCACAUUAAUGCUGAGCCUUGACACGUGGCAAGAAUACCCCUAUUCAUUCACCAUAACAGCAAAUCAAGGCAUCAUCUUGCAUUUCCCUUUCAUUUUUUGAUGUAAUUAUUUUAUGGCAGCCUUAAUGAGGCCCUAUCAUUUAUCUCUGAAAGCUGUAAUCAAGUCUCAAAUGCUAAAUUACAGCUAUUUUACUGACCGGCGUUCAGCAAUAAUAUAGCAAAUGUCUGAAAACAGUCCUGAAAUGUAUUCUGGGGGAAAAGACUGUACUACAUAUGAUGUAUGCUUGAGAUAUCCACGGUGAUGUGGAUUUAACCAUGCAUAUGAUACUGUGGUGAAUGCAUUGUGCACAACAGCGUCAGAGGGUAAGACUCUGAAAGCAUAUAUUAUGUCCCCACCUCUGUAUUAUACAGUAACCUUUAAAAAUGCAUGCAUCUUAGAAGGAAGAUGAACUUGCUUUGAAGAACAUCUGGACUUUAUUGCACUGAAUGAGGCAAUUUAUCAUUUCGGUUUUAUACAAAUGCACACUAAGUGUCAAUUUUUGAGCCCGGUCUCAUGAAGAUGUGUAUAAAUGGUACACCAGAUUAAAAUGAAAACUCGUGGUACUGAUACGCAAAAAUGAAUUUUGGCCUUCAUAUGAUACGCACGUGUUUGUCGUGCAUAUAAUACGCAGUUUUCGCGUGCAUAUGAUACGAAAUUUGUUGGCGUGCAUAUGAUACGCAGAUUUCGCGUGCAUAUGAUACGAAAUUUGUUGGCGUGCAUAUGAUACGCAGAUUUCGCGUACAUAUGAUACGCAUCUACCCCAAAACCCUAAUCCUAACCAUCGCGUAGCAUAUACACGCCAAAUUCCAUUUUUGCGUAUCAAGACCAUGAGUUUUCGUUUUUAUUUGGCGUACUAUUUACACACACGAGCCAAAUUUUACAUCAGUUUUAGCUUGUGUAUAUAGUUUUUCCUUUUCACUUUUUGUUAAAAAUUAAGCAAAUUAUGAGAAGCAAAAUUUGUAAGAGCUCAUAUCUCGAAUUAAGUUUAUUCUCUUUAAGUUUAAUUUUUAGGUUUUUCCACAAAAAAGUUUCUUAGAUUUUUUUUCUUAGAACUAACUUUAAAAAAUACCUCUAAAGCAUCUAUUAAUCUGAGUUAAUGUUAAUUUCAGCCUGUAGAAUACAUUAUUUAAAAUAAAAGUUGUAUCUGUUAAUAUUAUUUAAUGGACCUGAGCUAAUAUGAACAGUUAUACUAACUAACGUUAACAAAGCUAAAUAAAUGCUGUUACAUGAACUAACAUUGAGCAAUAUUAUUGUUUAUUAAUGCUAAUUAUUAAGUAAAUAAAUAAUGGGGUGUUGUUUUAGACCCCAGUGACUUUCACUGUAUGUAUUAAAAAACUGUUGAAACAUUCUUCAAAAUAUCUUAUUUUAUGUUCAAGAAAGUCAUACCGGUUUGGAACAACAUGAAGGUGAGUAAAUGAUGACAGAAUGUUCAUUUUUGUGCAAACUAUUCCUAUAUAUUCUCUUUAAACAAAAGAGUAAUAUACUGUAAUAUGCUUUUAAAUUUCAAAUAAAUUUAGUUUUAAAGACUCAGGAAUUAAGACUGAUUAAGAAAAUAAUUUAUUGCAGUACUGCAGUUUUACUGCACCACCAAAAACAAACAACAACAACAACAACAACAACAAAACAUUAGAUGAUCACAGGCUCUUUACAGCUGGACCAUUUCACAGCAGUGGCUCUCUUCUAUGCAUCUUUAAUGUUAUGCUAUAAACAAAAAAAAUAUAAAUGGCAAACUCAAAGCAAAGGCGUAACUAAUUGACCAGCAUUUACUAAAUGAAAAGAUCACUGUUACAGCAUACUGCUGUGAAAGAGUAGCGAUUAACGUGUGCAUUAAACAGAUUUGUUUUAAGAGCAGAGGCUUAAGGUUGUUGAGUUUGACUAUCUCAGAGACUAAAGGUGACUAGAGAUUACCUGAGUGACCCAGGCCAAAGUGACACAUGCCCAAUUAACUUUAAUCUCUCUAGUGCUGUGUGUGUCUGAGCACGUGAGUGAUGGGGCGGCGUUCUAAUAUAUGUAACUACACAGUAAAAUCAGCAAUAUUUACAGUAUUAAAAGUUAUUAAUUCCCAAAGAGUUACAUUAACAAUCUACAGUGUUAAACAGUACUCAUGUUCAGUGUUGUUACAUGGUGUAAUAUUUAUGUAAUUUCACUUUUACACUGAAAGUGUAAAAAAAAGAAAAAACCCAGCCGAAUUAUCUGACUCCGCCCUUCAAGGACUGCUGCCUCGCAAAGCGAAGACGACAUUUUAUCUUCAUGCGACCGAGACGGUAAGUUGGAUUGCUUUUAUCUUUAUAAAAUUACACAGGAGAAAUCAUUUUUAUAUAUUUUCAAAUAAUAAGGUAAUAAUAAUAAUAAGGUGAUUUUACAUUCCACAUUUUUGGAAUGUGUUUACAAUUUAUGUUAUAUAUAUAUAUAUAUAUAUAUAUAUACUUUUAGCUUCUUUCAUUUUGGUUCAUUGACAGAUCCUCUCGCCUUCAUACCCGGCGAGGCCUGGUUUUACAACGAGUCUGGCACUGAACUGAAGCAGCCACAUUUGGGCGGUUUUCUAUUCAGAGGAGAUAAUUCAUCAAAUGGCACUAACAAGAAGAACACCUUGAUUGCAUAGAAGAGACCACACAGUCAUACCUGCUUGCUGAUGGGACAAUGAGGAACAGCAUUCAUGGAUGCUACACAACUGUCGACAUGUAUCUUAUUGCAAUCUUGUUCAAAUCUUGUUAAUGUCUAGGUUUUGAUGAUUUUAUGUGUUUUAUUAACUAUUUUAUGUUUCUAUGCGACACUUAAUGAAUGUGACUGACUAAUUAACCCCUACACAUCUGGUAUAUGCUUUAUAUGCUGGUAUAUGCUGGUAGUUGCCAU
Onychostoma macrolepis is the source of this 4814-nucleotide long non-coding RNA. RefSeq lists it as uncharacterized. Lineage: Eukaryota; Metazoa; Chordata; Actinopteri; Cypriniformes; Cyprinidae. The record is from RefSeq and is a predicted model, not a curated record. The transcript is spliced from 3 exons.